This 2301-nucleotide long non-coding RNA is filed under the name Salmo salar (Atlantic salmon). RNAcentral describes it as "lncRNA (ENSSSAG00000110508.1)". The record is from RNAcentral. Lineage: Eukaryota; Metazoa; Chordata; Actinopteri; Salmoniformes; Salmonidae.
GUGGAUUCUAGAACAGGGGUGGAUUCUAGAACAGGGGUGGAAUCUAGAACAGAUGUUGUUUCUAGAAUAUAUGUUGUUUCUAGAAUAUAUGUUGUUUCUAGAAUAUAUGUUGUUUCUAGAAUAUAUGUUGAUUCUAGAAUAUAUGUUGAUUCUAGAAUAUAUGUUGAUUCUAGAAUAUAUGUUGAUUCUGGAAUAUAUGUAGAUUCUGGAAUAUAUGUAGAUUCUGGAAUAUAUGUAGAUUCUAGAAUAUAUGUUGUUUCUAGAAUAUAUGUUGAUUCUAGAAUAUAUGUUGAUUCUAGAAUAUAUGUUGUUUCUAGAAUAUAUGUUGAUUCUAGAAUAUAUGUUGAUUCUAGAAUAUAUGUUGUUUCUAGAAUAUAUGUUGAUUCUAGAAUAUAUGUUGAUUCUAGAAUAUAUGUUGUUUCUAGAAUAUAUGUUGAUAUUCUAGAAUAUAUGUUGAUUCUAGAACAGAUGGUGAUUCUAGAAUAUAUGUUGAUUCUAGAACAGAUGGUGAUUCUAGAAUGGGGGGAUUCUAGAACAGGGCUGGCCCCAUGGACCAUUAUUAGAGAAAGAGCAUAGAGGUAGAAAGAGGGCUCUAGAUGGAUAUAACCUGGUUUGAUGAGUUCUCUUUCUACCUCUAUGAGAAGAGGGUUGCAAUUGACUGUGUACAUAGUAGUCCCUCUGUGUUUUCUACUCAGAUUUAUAACACCUGACUGGUGUUUUCUGCUCGGGUUUAAAACACAUCUCUGACUGGUGUUUUCUGCUCUGGUUUAAAACACAGCUCUGACUGGUGUUUUCUGCUCUGGUUUAAAACACAUCUCGGACUGCUAUGCACAUGCCUUAACUAACAACCUUGAUGUGUUUGUCACGAUGACGAUGAUGAUGCUAAGAAUAAAAACAUUUGUGUUUACACACCCAUACAUACACACUUCCCAUGGUUUUCAUUUGGGGGAUGGCGAGACAGGUAGAGGGAGGAACUCUUGAUUCAAGGAUUUUGGUUUUGUGAGAAGCAGUGAACGAGUGCACACUUCAGAAGAAAGGAGAUAUUAUUGGGACGCCCCCUAUAUGCUCUCCUCAGUCAGAAGCCAUGUCAGCAAUUCGCUAUAUAAACAGGUCUGUCUGUUGUUGAAGUGGGAGGGACAGAGAUGAUAAGAGGUUAGUCUGUCUGUUGUUGAAGAUGAUGGGAGGGACGUUAUGAAUACAGUCCCUGGUAGUCUACCAUCUACCAUCUACAUUAUGAAUACAGUCCCUGAGAAUCUACCAUCUACAUUAUGAAUACAGUCCCUGAUAGUCUACCAUCUACAUUAUGAAUACAGUCCCUGAUAGUCUACCAUCUACAUUAUGAAUACAGUCCCUGAGAGUCUACCAUCUACAUUAUGAAUACAGUCCCUGAUAGUCUACCAUCUACAUUAUGAAUACAGUCCCUGAGUCUACCAUCUACCAUCUACAUUAUGAAUACAGUCCCUGAGAGUCUACCAUCUACCAUCUACAUUAUGAAUACAGUCCCUGAGAGUCUACCAUCUACCAUCUACAUUAUGAAUACAGUCCCUGAUAGUCUACCAUCUACAUUAUGAAUAUAGUCCCUGAUAAUCUACCAUCUACAUUAUGAAUACAGUCCCUGAUAGUCUACCAUCUACCAUCUACAUUAUGAAUACAGUCCCUGAUAGUCUACCAUCUACAUUAUGAAUACAGUCCCUGAGAGUCUACCAUCUACCAUCUACAUUAUGAAUACAGUCCCUGAUAAUCUACCAUCUACAUUAUGAAUACAGUCCCUGAUAGUCUACCAUCUACAUUAUGAAUACAGUCCCUUGAUAUCUACCAUCUACCAUCUACAUUAUGAAUACAGUCCCUGAUAGUCUACCAUCUACCAUCUACAUUAUGAAUACAGUCCCUGAUAGUCUACCAUCCACCACCUGUCCUGUGACUUCUAAUAGGCUCUCGUGAAGGACAGGAAGUGAGAGACAGAGGGAAGGAAGACGUUUUAGACACACCCAAUGAAACUGUUCAUUAAGAACCAAUACAAUAGAACUUGUAUUGACUAUUCAACCCCCCCUCUGGAGCGGUUUGUCUCACUACGACAUCACUCUCUGGAUCCUUGACUUUAUAGGGUCCCCUGACGUUGUGAUUCUGGCAGGAUUUCAUCCAUUCUAUUGAUGUUUCCCAAAUGGCACCCUAUUCCCUAUAAUAGUGCACUACUUUAGACCAGAGCCCUAUGGCACCCUAUUCCCUAUAUAGUGCACUACUUUAGACCAGAGCCCUAUUCCCUAUAAUAGUGCACUACUUUAGACCAGAGCCUUAUUCCCU